UCGAGAAUUUUUCACAAUGGGCGAAAGCCUGAUGGAGCGACGCCGCGUGGGGGAUGAAUGGCUUCGGCCCGUAAACCCCUGUCAUUCGCGAGCAAACGUUAUUAUUUAAAAGAUGAUAGCCUGACAGUAGCGAAAGAGAAAGGGACGGCUAACUCUGUGCCAGCAGCCGCGGUAAUACAGAGGUCCCAAGCGUUGUUCGGAUUUACUGGGCGUAAAGGGUGCGUAGGCGGUGGGGUAAGUCGGAUGUGAAAUCUCCGAGCUCAACUCGGAAAGUGCAUUGGAAACUACCCUGCUCGAGGGUUGGAGGGGGGGCUGGAAUACUUGGUGUAGCAGUGAAAUGCGUAGAUAUCAAGUGGAACACCAGUGGCGAAGGCGAGUCCCUGGACGACUCCUGACACUGAGGCACGAA
RNAcentral lists this ribosomal RNA (409 nucleotides) under uncultured bacterium. RNAcentral describes it as "bacterial SSU rRNA". It matches the Rfam family "Bacterial small subunit ribosomal RNA", at positions 355 to 757 of the family's 1533-position model. The record is from RNAcentral.